CUUCUAUGAUGACAGCUCACUAGGCAGGCAGCGUGGAUCUAUGUUCCAGUCUCCUCUUGCAGAUCAGAUACCACCUCUGAGAUCCUUCUCUGCUCCUCACUGACCAAACUCAAGGAACAGAUCUUCCCUGCCCAGGUCUCCAGGACCCCAACCUACCCACUUCUAGGAGAGAAUUCACACAGGGUAAGUUAAGAACACUUAUAGCAAGGGAUAAAUCCUCCCUGCCCCUCGCAUGGUGUGCCUUAACAUUUAGCCCUAACCACAGGGAUACAGAAUAGCCCCUUCUGCAAAACUGAACUGGAAAAUUGGAUCCACAUAUAAAAAAGGAGGUUGUUCUGGCUAAUUGAUUAGUAAGGCCCCUGUAGCUCGUCCAGUUACAUAUAUUCAUGUCCAGCUUGUCACACUGUCUGGCUGACUAAUUUGGCCUACAGACUCCCCAAACAUGAGAUUCUAAUGACUCACCUAAAGUUUUAAUAUUCAGAAAACUGGGCCUUCUCCUUGGAAAGUUGUUCCGAUGAGCAGGAAUGUUAAUCUGUGAGUGUAAGUACUGCCUUCACCUCUGGACGUGUCUGUGUGGUAUGUGCCAAAGAGACAGAACUCAGCACAGAUGGUGACUCCUGAAUCAUUAACUUCAGGCAGCUGCGUUCCGUGGCUGUACAGCUCCGUGGCAGCACAGGCACCAGGAGCCCACAGAUUAUCACGAUAAACAGUACAAGACCUCUUGCAGGUCGUAGGCCAUGGAGCACAUGUUUAACUUCUUUGGGGAAAAAAAUAAUUCGCUGGCAAAAAAAAAAAACCCAGAAUAUUUGCCAAACACCUCAUUUCCUGCUCUAUAACCAGAUGGUUAUGAAUCAUGUGAAAUAUCCCUUCCACCUCCAUGAACAAAUAUUCGUGUUAUUUACAAACUAGUAGUACAUUUGUGACUGCACAUACAUGCUUAACAAAUUUCUAGGCCGUGGAAUGUAUUUCUCAAGUAUAUGGGAAAAUCUAUAACAUGAAAAUCUUUAUCUUCCCAGGCUUUCUGAAUAAUGUGUAUUAAACAGUUGUUGACGACCUAACAAAAGUUACUGGGUCUUGGAGUGUGAGACAGAUCACUAUUUUGGAGAAAGGAUGUUAUAUGAAGCAGGAACUACAUUUUUUCACUGUGGUUUCACCCUUUUAUUUAGAAACAACAAUAAACAUUUUUGUUACGGCUUUGAAAAGAGAAAAUAAAUCCCUUUUUGUUAUGGCUUUGAAAAGAGAAAAUACAUGCCUUUUUGGAAGAGAGAAAGAGAAAAGGCAGGAAGGAAGGGAAAGAAGGAAGGGGAGAUUGGAUGGAUUCUUUGCUAGCCAAGGUGCCUAAGAGCUAGAAACAAAAGUAGGAAAUACAAACACUGUAGCUUUCUGCACCACAGCUGCCUCCCCUCGCAACAAAGAGCAGGCCCUCGGCCUCCGAGCCUGGGAGAGGGAGCAUCACCCUUAGGCACAAUGUAGCCCAGAAGGGCCUGGCGCUGUCCUUUUUGGCCUCCUGACAAGAAUGUUCACUUACAGAUCCCAAGUUAUCCUAAGUCCAUCUGGCGUGUUCUGAGGAUCAAAAACAAAUGUGUGGAGCCUCCCCUCCCUCGCACCCGCCUGCACUCUCAGGCUCUGACCUGCUUUCAGGAGCACUCAGGGUGAAGCCCAGACUUGUCCCACAGGGGAUUCUCUGGGAGGGAGGCUGGGAGCACAUGGCAUGCAGUGCCUCUGCCUCCUCACCCACCCUAAGAGGUGGAAGGAGGCAGCCCAGCAGUGCCCCUCAGAGUCAAAGACAGCGUGGCUCGCUCUCACAAGCCCUUCAGCUUGCUGGGCAGUAGUGAGAUUUUUUGUUCCUUUCUUAUUAGAGUCACAGAGAGUCAGAAGGGAACUCAGAGAUGAUUUUACAAAGGGAAGAAUAUUAAGGCUUAGCGAGGUCAGACUACUCACACAGGUCAUGGCAAAUUAGCAGAAGAGUUGGGAUUUCAUUUUUAGUGUUUUGCCAUCCUAUGGAUGGGUUUAAAUCAGAGGUAAUAACUUUGAUCCAGCUAUUCUUCAAGAGAAAAUAAAGCCAGGGCUUUGGGAACAGUAGGAGGUGGGGAUGAGGGGAAGGGCAACAUCAGGCAGCAUUUAUGUGACCAAACAGACACGUUUUUGACACAGGUUGGACAUGUCAGAUAAAAUAAUCUGCCAUCUGCACCAACUUGCUUGACCUGAACAACAAGUUCAAAUGCCAAGGUGACUAGAGAAGAGGGAGAGUACAGGAAGCAAGGGAGGGGGAGAGGCUUCUCCUCUUUCUCAGGACAGGAGUCUGGCACCUCAUCUUUUUAUGAACAAUAGAGCCCCUGUGUAAGCCCCAUGUCCCUCAGGAAAGGAGGAUCCCAGGAGGUCCCAUCCUCUGCAGCCUGCAGUGCCUCUUCCUCAUUUCCUUAUUGACUCCUGAUUCCGGGGGUCCUAGGUGGGCAGGGCUUAGACGUCCAGUUGCAUCAACUGUCCCUGCAUCCUAUCCCUGAUUUUACUUCACUACAGGAAGUAGCCAGAGUGCAACAGCAGGCUCUCUGUGUCUGGAUUUUAUGACAAAAGAGGAUUUAUAAACAGAACUUGAGGGCCUUCCUGAGAAAGAGAAAUUGGCCUCUCUUCAGUCAGGAGCCAGGGAAUUAUUUGCACGCCAAGCAAAUAGCUCCCAAGCUAACAAUAAAUGGCUCUGGGGCUGUGUCAUUCAUUGACCCUGGGAAUUCACCCAAGGCACCUCUGAAAUUUGAAAAUAGCUGUUAAUUACAUUAAAUCGUGAGAAUUACAGAUUUUUCCAAAAGGGAUGACUAUUAGAAAUGUGAGGUGUCAACGGAGGUUUGAUGAAUAGGCACCACCAGUUUGUUUUCUUCCUAUAAUCCAAGCCUCUGAAAAUGACCUGAGAAUUCACACAUAUGAUCUGAGAGUCAGAAUUGGCCAAUAUUGUAGAAAGUAAAGGUAAAACCUGUAUUCUUCCCACCUCCCUUUAACAGAGUACGUACUACAUUAGUCUGGUGUUUGGAACACCUACUGUAGGUUAUUCCUUUGGACUUAUGCGUUUUUGUACCUAAGAAACUUCUUUCAAAAUAAAAAUACUCUUGCCAGGGGCAACAUAUCAGGCUGUUGUAGACUGAAUUGUGUCCCCCUAAAAUUCAUGGAAGUCCUAACCCCCAGUAGCUCCGAAUGUGACUGUAUCUGGAGACAGGGUCUUUAUAGAGGUAAUUAGGUUAAAAUGAGGUCACUGGGAUGGGCCCUAAUCCAAUAUGAUGGGUCUCCUUAUAAGAGGAAAUUGAGACACAGACCUGUUCACAGGGAAGACCGUGUGAAGACACUGGAAGAAGACAGCCAUCCACAAAGCAAGGACAGGAGCCUUGGAGGAGAACAAUCCUGGGGACUCCUUGAUCUUAGACUUCUAGCCUCCAGGAUUAUUAGAAAAUAAAUUUAUGUUAUUUAAGCUGCCCAGUCUGUGGUACCUUGCUAUGGCAGCCCUAGCAAAAUAAUUCACAGGCUAUUUACACUUGAACAUGAAUUAUUGAUAGUAGGGAAAAAAAAUGAGCCCUGUAACUUUCCUAGUCUUGAGGAAUAGAGACUACAAACAAAUCAAGUCUUCUGUGGGAAUGCUGGGCCAUGGGCUUUGGAAUCACCACCAGUGAUGGAACCCGAAGUAAGCUACUAAACCUCGACAGGCUCAUUCAUGAAUCACCACCAGUGAUGGAACCCCAGGUGGUCCUGAAAGGAGGAGGUGCUUUGCUUCUCUUUUUCGCAGAUGUCAAUUAUGGAUCAACUUCUGAGUCACAUAGAAGAGCACCAUCAAUUGGCCAUUUCUCACCUGAUCACUGAGGAUAUAAAGUGCUUUUCCAGACUCCAGGACUCGGUUCAUUGCUAGUAUCAGGACGCCUCUCAUGUAUGGGAAGCCAGAAACAUCCCAGGAGCCUCACUGACUGCUUGGGCACAGCCCUCUGAGCAGACCUAUGAAGAAACAGAAGGAUUUGUGCCUUUUAGGUAUCUCUGGUCAAAACAGGUAUUUGAAGUUCUGAUUCUGCUAUUAUCUGGCACCUCCACUUGGCCCAUUGCUGGAAAUAUUAGGACUAGAAAACAUCAAGAUCAGGCACCGAACAGGCAAAUCUCCACUGAGUGGUUCUGAUGUGCAAAUAGCUGAUGAAGACUGGUUAUGGUUAUAAAAUGGAACACAGUUUUCUAAUUACAUAGUGUGUGGGUCUCGUGUGUGUGUGUGUGUGCAUGCAUGUGUGUGCAUGUGUGUGUUCGUGUGUGUGUGUGUGCAUGUAUAUCUAAGGUGCUUCACAUUUAGCUCUCAGCUCUCAGAAUGAGUCCACAUUCUGAGGUAAAUCUAUGGUGUUUGAUACCAACCAAUUUGAGAGAAACAUCUGGUGUCAUUUGCUUUUCUAGAUUCAUUUUUAUAUCUCCAAGACAGAGACACAACAAAGCUUUACUUAGGGCCAACUUAUUCUAAAGUUUUAUUGGUAUCUAGAAGUAGACACCCAUGUCUCUUCCACUUCCUUAUUUGAAUAAAAUUAAGUGGGUCUAGUCCUUACCUUAAUUCUCUCUUAAAAAUGCUCAAGAAAACCAAUUUCAAUAGCUGGGCCUAAAACAAUAUUACAAAACUUGGGUGCUAGGAUUAUAACAAGGAUUUUUCCAACCAGCAAGAAACAAAGCAAGACUUUCAAACAGUUUUAUUAUUUUUUAUCUUUUUAAAAAUUGUAUUGGGGUAAAAUACACGUAGCAUAAAAUUUACCAUCUUAACCAUUUUUAGGCCUACAGUUCAGUGGUACUAAGUACAUUCCUAUUGUUAUACGGCCACUACCACUAUCCAUCUCCAGAAUCUUUUCAUCUUCCCAAACUGAAAUUCUGCCUCCAUUAAACAAUAACUCCCCAGUCCCAUCUUUCCCCAGGCCCUGGAAACCACCAUUCUAUUUUCUGUCUUUAUAAAUUUCACUACUCUAGACAUUUCAUAUAAAGAGAAUCAUAUAAUAUGUGUUCUUUUGUGGCUGGCUUAUUUCGCAGAGCAUAAUGUCUUCAAGCUUCAUCCAUGUUGUAGCAUAUGUCAGAAUUACCUUUGUUUUGAGGGUGAAUAAUAUUUCAUCAUAUGUAGAUGCCACAUAUUGUUUACUCACUCAUCCCUCAAUGGACGCUUGGGUUGCAUCCACGUUUUGGCUACUGUGAAAAAUGCUGCUAUGAAUAUGGGUGUACAAACAUCUCUUUGAGACCCUGCUUUCAACUCUUUUGGGUAUAUACCCAAAAGGUUAAUUGGUGGAUCAUACAGUAUUUCUACCUUUAAUUUUUUGAGGACUCACCAUAGUGUUUUCCAUAGCAGUUACAUCAUUUUACAAUCCUACCAAUAAACGGUACACAAGGGUUCCAAUUUUUUCACAUCCUUGCCAACACUUGUUAUUUUAUGUUUUUAGGCUAGCCAUCCUAAUGGGCAUGAGGCCUUCCAAACAGUUUUAUGAUCGACUAAGUUAACCAAGUAAACCAGAUCAAUGACGGGCCAUAACAUCAAUGACCAAAAGAAAGGGGGAUGGAAGACACUCAGAAAGUUCCACCCCAGCCCUUACAACAUUGUUUGAAUGGAGAGUAGAAGGGGACAAGCUCCCAUUUCACAAGGUAAAGUUUAUAGAUUACCUAGAUG
RNAcentral lists this long non-coding RNA (5647 nucleotides) under Homo sapiens (human). RNAcentral describes it as "HSALNT0376940". Lineage: Eukaryota; Metazoa; Chordata; Mammalia; Primates; Hominidae. The record is from RNAcentral.